This 200-nucleotide unclassified non-coding RNA is filed under the name soil metagenome. RNAcentral's name for it is "partial contains internal transcribed spacer 2 and large subunit ribosomal RNA". The record is from RNAcentral.
UGUGAGCCAGCUCCUCUUAAAUGAAUUAGCUUGCCGGUGUUUGGUGGCAUCACAGGCGUGAUAACUAUCUACGCUUGCGGUUUCCCAUCAGGUAACCUUCAGCGAUGGAGGUUCACCGGGGCUUAUAAACAUCUCUCCUCGGCGAGGACGGAUUUUGACCGUUUGAUCUCAAAUCAGGCAGGACUACCCGCUGAACUUAA